GGAUCCUUGUCUUUACUUUAUUGGACGCUCUGUUGCUGUUGCUCGGAAUGUACUUUGUCAACGAUUGCUUGUACAGAAGUAAAGAUGAUGACAUGUUAUAUUCUAGAGCCAUUUACUACACCCUAAGCGCGGGUGAGACUAAACUUAAAGGUGAGAUUAAUGAUUCCAUAUGUGCAGUAUUUAAAUAUGAUAGGUUCUAAAUAUUAAUUAAAAGUGAUAUUAGGAAAAGGAACACAAACACUAAAGCUUGAUUAGCUAUGCUAACAAAAUGCAGGGUAAAAAUCAAGAAACUGUUUAGAGCAGCUGAUAUUUAUGUCAUUAAGAUAAAACUCCUCUCACUAUGGCUGCAUCUUUCCAUUAGAUGAUGACAUGUUAUAUUCUAGAGCCAUUUACUACACCUUACGCCCGGGAGAGACUGAACUCAAAGGUCUCAGAAAAAUAGUGGCAUGAAGACAAAAUCACAUCUGAGUGAAUUAUCACACAUUGUUAUUACAAUUGAACAAGCUGUACAUUGUCUGCUAUGUAUAUAAUUAAACUAUAAAU
Molecule: long non-coding RNA, 543 nt
Organism: Astatotilapia calliptera (eastern happy)
Lineage: Eukaryota; Metazoa; Chordata; Actinopteri; Cichliformes; Cichlidae
Source: Ensembl